Molecule: long non-coding RNA, 273 nt
Organism: Sebastes umbrosus (honeycomb rockfish)
Lineage: Eukaryota; Metazoa; Chordata; Actinopteri; Perciformes; Sebastidae
Exons: 3
Source: RefSeq, a predicted model, not a curated record
GACAUUUGCAGACUCCAGUUAUUACCCCUAACCCUAUGGCUUUUCCUCCAAAAAAUAUUAUGAUUGUGAAUUAAUCGUGUUAAAAAUGUUGGUGGGUCCAAAAUGAAUGUUUUGUUUGUCUCUGUGGAAGAUAUCUGACGUUUCGUUCCCACUUCUAACAAGGCGUGUGAGUCAAUAGUAAAACAAUGUUGGUAUCACGCAGUAUCUCUGUGUCGUCAGCGAUCAAGUUGCGAGUUAGUGUGGAAAGAAAUGGUAAAAUGGCUGAGUUUGACU